CUGGCGGCAGGCCUAACACAUGCAAGUCGAGCGGUAGCACAGAGAGCUUGCUCUCGGGUGACGAGCGGCGGACGGGUGAGUAAUGUCUGGGAAACUGCCUGAUGGAGGGGGAUAACUACUGGAAACGGUAGCUAAUACCGCAUAAUGUCGCAAGACCAAAGUGGGGGACCUUCGGGCCUCAUGCCAUCAGAUGUGCCCAGAUGGGAUUAGCUAGUAGGUGGGGUAAUGGCUCACCUAGGCGACGAUCCCUAGCUGGUCUGAGAGGAUGACCAGCCACACUGGAACUGAGACACGGUCCAGACUCCUACGGGAGGCAGCAGUGGGGAAUAUUGCACAAUGGGCGCAAGCCUGAUGCAGCCAUGCCGCGUGUGUGAAGAAGGCCUUCGGGUUGUAAAGCACUUUCAGCGGGGAGGAAGGCGUUAAGGUUAAUAACCUUGGCGAUUGACGUUACCCGCAGAAGAAGCACCGGCUAACUCCGUGCCAGCAGCCGCGGUAAUACGGAGGGUGCAAGCGUUAAUCGGAAUUACUGGGCGUAAAGCGCACGCAGGCGGUCUGUCAAGUCGGAUGUGAAAUCCCCGGGCUCAACCUGGGAACUGCAUUCGAAACUGGCAGGCUAGAGUCUUGUAGAGGGGGGUAGAAUUCCAGGUGUAGCGGUGAAAUGCGUAGAGAUCUGGAGGAAUACCGGUGGCGAAGGCGGCCCCCUGGACAAAGACUGACGCUCAGGUGCGAAAGCGUGGGGAGCAAACAGGAUUAGAUACCCUGGUAGUCCACGCCGUAAACGAUGUCGAUUUGGAGGUUGUGCCCUUGAGGCGUGGCUUCCGGAGCUAACGCGUUAAAUCGACCGCCUGGGGAGUACGGCCGCAAGGUUAAAACUCAAAUGAAUUGACGGGGGCCCGCACAAGCGGUGGAGCAUGUGGUUUAAUUCGAUGCAACGCGAAGAACCUUACCUGGUCUUGACAUCCACAGAACUUAGCAGAGAUGCUUUGGUGCCUUCGGGAACUGUGAGACAGGUGCUGCAUGGCUGUCGUCAGCUCGUGUUGUGAAAUGUUGGGUUAAGUCCCGCAACGAGCGCAACCCUUAUCCUUUGUUGCCAGCGGUUAGGCCGGGAACUCAAAGGAGACUGCCAGUGAUAAACUGGAGGAAGGUGGGGAUGACGUCAAGUCAUCAUGGCCCUUACGACCAGGGCUACACACGUGCUACAAUGGCAUAUACAAAGAGAAGCGACCUCGCGAGAGCAAGCGGACCUCAUAAAGUAUGUCGUAGUCCGGAUUGGAGUCUGCAACUCGACUCCAUGAAGUCGGAAUCGCUAGUAAUCGUAGAUCAGAAUGCUACGGUGAAUACGUUCCCGGGCCUUGUACACACCGCCCGUCACACCAUGGGAGUGGGUUGCAAAAGAAGUAGGUAGCUUAACCUUCGGGAGGGCGCUUACCACUUUGUGAUUCAUGACUGGGGUGAAAAG
This 1459-nucleotide ribosomal RNA is filed under the name uncultured organism. Its description in RNAcentral is "SSU rRNA". It matches the Rfam family "Bacterial small subunit ribosomal RNA". The record is from RNAcentral.